CGCUAAAAUUUUUUUAAUUUUUGUAUCACCAUAUUUUUAUUUAAAACUUAUUCUUUUCUCUCGCUUCUUCUGCCAUUACUAGCAUGAAAAAAUUUCCGGUCCGGCCGCAUCGGAGGAGUCUUUGGUUUUGGAAGGCCUUCGUCGCAGGGCUUGACGUAUGUGGCCGACAAAUUCGGCCUUUGGAGGACCCGGCCUGCCAUUUUGGACACAGCCAUAGUCUCCUCUCGUGCCCAGAAUCUCUCUGCCCACGUGCGCGCGCACACUAUUACCCUCGCGUGAGUAUUUUUUUUUUCUUCCUCCCCAGCUUCCUCUGCUGCUCGCUCGACAAUUACUUUUGGCAGAGGGUGGGCGGAUCCAGAGCCCAAUAAAGAGAGAGUUGCGACACUCCCGUUGACUUCCAUAGGAAGAAUGGAAUGCGGAACUCACGUGGUUCAUGGAGCCUCAAAUAGUUGCAAACACAGCGAGAGGCUCCAUUGAGCGCAGUUCAUUCUUGGUGUCUCUGAGGUAUUUUCUCCGGUAAGUUGACAAAAAAACAACAUUUUUGCCAUUGUGCGGCAUUAUCUGACUUUUCUGUACCACAGUGAUAUGUUGUAGUCAGUUUUAGUUUAUUAAUCGUGUUAAUUAAUUAGUUACGCAGUUAGCAUAACUGCAGCUGCAGCUAGCUCGUUGUUAGCAUGACGAGUAAUGAUGAGUUUAAACGGGACAAUUUCAGUCUGUUGAGUUCAGCUUUUAAAAUAUUCGGUACAUUUUACAUUCUGAAAGUUGAUAAUUUUAUAAAUUAAGUGGUGCUGACUGAACUAUAUUUUGUUCUGUGAGACUGACUUGGUUAAUUUACAUCAAGUUAUAUAUUUUUCUUCAGAGACAACAGCAUAGAUGGUGAUAGUAUUGUCAUUAAAGAUGAAUGUUAUUGUGAAAAUGAAUAAUUAUAUGAUAUUUUUCAGUUAAACCAGACCAGACUUACCUGCUGAAGCUUGUUACAACAUCACAAAGGAUCCAUGAUGUUCGGAGCUUCCUGAAAGAUGUACCCGGUCUUCUGAAAGCUGAAGAAGAAGCCUGAAGAAGCCUGUAGCACUGACAAAAGGCAGUGGAAGUUUUUUCUCACUGCAGGAUCCUUCCUGCUCGUUGGUUCUGGGCGAUAAAUAAACGUGGUUGGAACAGCAUCAGUCAUUAGUCUAACUUCUCUUUGUCUUUGCGAACUGUCCUGCCUCAAAAUGUGCCUGUAGAGUGAUUUAUUACUUCAUUUCCUCACAUUUCAUUAAGGCCUGGUGCAUUUGACAGUAAAACUGAUAAAAAUGUUUGAGUGUGCAGAUUACACUUACAGCAGUUUGCUGUUAUUAUGAUCUUUAUUGGUACAAAUAUAAUGACUUAACAAAGUAUUUUUACUAACAUUUAUAAUGUAAUUUUACACAUUUUAUAACACAAUGUUUUUUUUCACAAUUGAGACGCUUAUUUUGUGAUGUAAUAUGAUCUUAACUUGAAAUAUAUUUUUUUAAAAUAAGCAUUUUAAGUAAUGAAUUACUGUUUUAUAGUUGUCUGGCUAUAAGCACAUGUACUCAGUUAACAUGAAAAACCAAAAAUUAAAUAUAUAAUUGCUUCA
Long non-coding RNA from Austrofundulus limnaeus, 1597 nucleotides. RefSeq lists it as uncharacterized. The record is from RefSeq and is a predicted model, not a curated record. Lineage: Eukaryota; Metazoa; Chordata; Actinopteri; Cyprinodontiformes; Rivulidae. The transcript has 2 exons.